AUUGAACGCUGGCGGAAUGCUUUACACAUGCAAGGUCGAACGGUAGAGGGGGCAACCCCUCGAGAGCGGCGAACGGGUGAGUAAUAUAUCGGAACGUGCCCAGUAGUGGGGGAUAACUACUCGAAAGAGUGGCUAAUACCGCAUGAGAACUGAGGUUGAAAGCGGGGGACCUUCGGGCCUCGCGCUACUGGAGCGGCCGAUAUCAGAUUAGCUAGUUGGUGGGUAAAGGCCUACCAAGGCGACGAUCCAUAGCUGGUCUGAGAGGAUGAUCAGCCACACUGGGACUGAGACACGGCCCAGACUCCUACGGGAGGCAGCAGUGGGGAAUAUUGGACAGUGGGCGAAAGCCUGAUCCAGCAAUGCCGCGUGAGUGAUGAAGGCCUUAGGGUUGUAAAGCUCUUUUACCCGAGAUGAUAAUGACAGUAUCGGGAGAAUAAGCUCCGGCUAACUCCGUG
RNAcentral lists this ribosomal RNA (455 nucleotides) under uncultured bacterium. RNAcentral's name for it is "bacterial SSU rRNA". It matches the Rfam family "Bacterial small subunit ribosomal RNA", at positions 30 to 507 of the family's 1533-position model. The record is from RNAcentral.